RNAcentral lists this ribosomal RNA (440 nucleotides) under uncultured bacterium. RNAcentral's name for it is "partial 16S ribosomal RNA". It matches the Rfam family "Bacterial small subunit ribosomal RNA", at positions 338 to 795 of the family's 1533-position model. The record is from RNAcentral.
CCUACGGGCGGCAGCAGUGGGGAAUAUUGCACAAUGGGGGAAACCCUGAUGCAGCGACGCCGCGUGAGUGAGGAAGUAUUUCGGUAUGUAAAGCUCUAUCAGCAGGGAAGAAAAUGACGGUACCUGAAUAAGAAGCCCCGGCUAACUACGUGCCAGCAGCCGCGGUAAUACGUAGGGGGCAAGCGUUAUCCGGAUUUACUGGGUGUAAAGGGAGCGUAGACGGCUAGUCAAGUCAGAAGUGAAAGCCAAGGGCUCAACCUUGGGACUGCUUUUGACACUGAGUAGCUAGAGUGCAGGAGAGGUAAGCGGAAUUCCUAGUGGAGCGGUGAAAUGCGUAGAUAUUAGGAGGAUCACCAGUGGCGAAGGCGGCUUACUGGACUGUAACUGACGUUGAGGCUCGAAAGCGUGGGGAGCAAACAGGAUUAGAUACCCCAGUAGUC